UACGUAGGGUGCGAGCGUUAAUCGGAAUUACUGGGCGUAAAGCGUGCGCAGGCGGCUUUGCAAGACAGAUGUGAAAUCCCCGGGCUCAACCUGGGAACUGCAUUUGUGACUGCAAGGCUAGAGUACGGCAGAGGGGGAUGGAAUUCCGCGUGUAGCAGUGAAAUGCGUAGAUAUGCGGAGGAACACCAAGGGCGAAGGCAAUCCCCUGGGCCUGUACUGACGCUCAUGCACGAAAGCGUGGGGAGCAAACAGG
This 253-nucleotide ribosomal RNA is filed under the name uncultured bacterium. RNAcentral's name for it is "partial 16S ribosomal RNA". It matches the Rfam family "Bacterial small subunit ribosomal RNA", at positions 524 to 776 of the family's 1533-position model. The record is from RNAcentral.